This 450-nucleotide non-coding RNA is filed under the name Mesobacillus campisalis. Its description in RNAcentral is "Bacillus campisalis Bacterial small subunit ribosomal RNA". It matches the Rfam family "Bacterial small subunit ribosomal RNA", at positions 1 to 441 of the family's 1533-position model. The record is from Rfam by way of RNAcentral. Lineage: Bacteria; Bacillati; Bacillota; Bacilli; Caryophanales; Bacillaceae.
UUAUUGGAGAGUUUGAUCCUGGCUCAGGACGAACGCUGGCGGCGUGCCUAAUACAUGCAAGUCGAGCGGACUUGAGGGAGCUUGCUCCCGAUGGUCAGCGGCGGACGGGUGAGUAACACGUGGGCAACCUGCCUGUAAGACUGGGAUAACUCCGGGAAACCGGAGCUAAUACCGGAUAAUUCAUUCCCUCACAUGAGGGAAUGCUGAAAGACGGCUCCGGCUGUCACUUACAGAUGGGCCCGCGGCGCAUUAGCUAGUUGGUGAGGUAACGGCUCACCAAGGCCACGAUGCGUAGCCGACCUGAGAGGGUGAUCGGCCACACUGGGACUGAGACACGGCCCAGACUCCUACGGGAGGCAGCAGUAGGGAAUCUUCCGCAAUGGACGAAAGUCUGACGGAGCAACGCCGCGUGAGCGAAGAAGGCCUUCGGGUCGUAAAGCUCUGUUGUCA